RNAcentral lists this ribosomal RNA (467 nucleotides) under uncultured bacterium. RNAcentral describes it as "partial 16S ribosomal RNA". It matches the Rfam family "Bacterial small subunit ribosomal RNA", at positions 28 to 506 of the family's 1533-position model. The record is from RNAcentral.
GACGAACGCUGGCGGCGUGCUUAACACAUGCAAGUCGAACGGAAAGGCCCUGCUUUUGUGGGGUGCUCGAGUGGCGAACGGGUGAGUAACACGUGAGUAACCUGCCCUUGACUUUGGGAUAACUUCAGGAAACUGGGGCUAAUACCGGAUAGGAGCUCCUGCUGCAUGAUGGGGGUUGGAAAGUUUCGGCGGUUGGGGAUGGACUCGCGGCUUAUCAGCUUGUUGGUGGGGUAGUGGCUUACCAAGGCUUUGACGGGUAGCCGGCCUGAGAGGGUGACCGGCCACAUUGGGACUGAGAUACGGCCCAGACUCCUACGGGAGGCAGCAGUGGGGAAUAUUGCACAAUGGGCGGAAGCCUGAUGCAGCAACGCCGCGUGCGGGAUGACGGCCUUCGGGUUGUAAACCGCUUUCGCCUGUGACGAAGCGUGAGUGACGGUAAUGGGGAAAGAAGCACCGGCUAACUACGU